CCCAAAUGAUGUAGUCAAUGGUGCUACCAAAAUCUACUGCAAAUAACCUAAUAAUUGUACACAGACAUCUUGACAUAGGCCAGUUCUCAACAACAGUAAAAUUUUGAGCCUGGAGUAUGAGAGCUGUAGAAAGGACAGCAGAAAAGAAGCAUUGAAAAUAAAUAAAAACUGGUCAGGGGAAAUUUGACAGAACAGGUAUUGAAGUCUGUUUCUUGCAUUUAUAAAUUGAGUUCACUUUGGCAUAAGAUACCAGCAGACAUCUAAGAUGCAAGAGCUGGAGUGGAAGUUGAUACCUUCCUUAUACUCAAGAUCUCUUUAUUAAUGAUUUUGUCUUCCCAAAAUAAUUAUAAGAAAAAUGAACAAUCAGGGGCCAUUCUACCUAUUGUAAGCCAAAUACUUGGAUAUGUCAAAGAAUCCAACUGUUUAUCUCCAUCUUGUCCUACCGUGCAAGUGACCAAUACUUAGCUUUACUAUCUCCCCAGCUCAGCCUCACUUCAUAUCAAGAAGUGAGUUUUGAG
This 518-nucleotide long non-coding RNA is filed under the name Homo sapiens (human). RNAcentral describes it as "HSALNT0008609". Lineage: Eukaryota; Metazoa; Chordata; Mammalia; Primates; Hominidae. The record is from RNAcentral.